Molecule: long non-coding RNA, 765 nt
Filed under: Chrysolophus pictus (golden pheasant)
Lineage: Eukaryota; Metazoa; Chordata; Aves; Galliformes; Phasianidae
Description: lncRNA (ENSCPIG00010001454.1)
Source: RNAcentral
GAUUUGCUCCAGUGCCUCUUGAUUUCUUCAUGCUGGCUGUGUCCUUGCAACAGAACCUGUAUACAAAGGAGAAAUGGGAUGAUGUGCAGCCACUUCCAGUUGAAGUAAAUGACUCCAAAACUGCAGACCAAGACCCUGAACUCAAACAGGAGGAUACAAAUAAAUCUUCCACUGACCUUAUGGCAUUGGUUAAGACACCUCAUCCUCUUGGAGAGUCCUUAAGGCCUACUGUCUUCUUCAAGUCAUUGGAAGACUACUUCUCCUUCCUCUAUGUCAAGCAACCAGCAGAAACGAGCCAAAAUGGCCCUAAUAAUGUAGAAGGAUUUUCCGACAAAGCCCUGUCUUGCGAAGUUCUACAUGCCUCUCUUCUGCUUAUGGCUGCACCAUUUAUGCUGGACAACCGUAACAGUGAUGAGAAAAUGAAGAACAAAGACCUUCCUGAGAAUCUUGCACUUGUGCAGUGCAGUGCCAGAGCACUGUCUGAGCAAGAGAUGUCCUGCAAGCUCUACGUCCCUCCUACCACGUUAUCUGCAGUGUUGGCAGCUGCUGCACGCUUAGCCACUUGUCGUGGCUACUUCCACUGGCUCCCAGGCCCAAGAAAGGAACUGUAAGAAGAGGUGAGAGAAGCAGAUGGAGCUGUUGCUGAGAAGGGCUCUGUGGAGCAGUGAAAUAUUACUGUACUGUCAUUCUUUUAAUUAAAAAGCACUUGCUUGAAAAACUUGCGUGACAUCUUCUCAGACAUGCCCGGUGCCUGUAGCAUGUUAC